Molecule: ribosomal RNA, 391 nt
Filed under: Chrysophyceae sp.
Lineage: Eukaryota; Chrysophyceae
Description: partial small subunit ribosomal RNA
Rfam family: Eukaryotic small subunit ribosomal RNA
Source: RNAcentral
AUUCCAGCUCCAAUAGCGUAUACUAAAGUUGUUGCAGUUAAAAAGCUCGUAGUUGAAUUUCUGGAUGCGAAAGAUGGUCGGCACCUCACGGUGUCUGCACCUAUCAUUCGCGUUCAUCCUCGGGAGGAACGUGUGGUCUCUUUAGUGAGCCCGCUCGGGAAUCUCGUCAUUUACUGUGAGCAAAAUAGAGUGUUCAAAGCAGGCUUAUGCCGUUGAAUAUAUUAGCAUGGAAUAAUAAGAUACGACUUUGGUCUAUUUUGUUGGUUUGCAUUCCAAAGUAAUGAUUAAUAGGGAUAGUUGGGGGUAUUCGUAUUCAAUUGUCAGAGGUGAAAUUCUUGGAUUUAUGGAAGACGAACUACUGCGAAAGCAUUUACCAAGGAUGUUUUCAUUA